This 296-nucleotide ribosomal RNA is filed under the name Streptococcus agalactiae. Its description in RNAcentral is "partial 16S ribosomal RNA". It matches the Rfam family "Bacterial small subunit ribosomal RNA", at positions 1 to 287 of the family's 1533-position model. Lineage: Bacteria; Bacillati; Bacillota; Bacilli; Lactobacillales; Streptococcaceae. The record is from RNAcentral.
UUUAAUGAGAGUUUGAUCCUGGCUCAGGACGAACGCUGGCGGCGUGCCUAAUACAUGCAAGUAGAACGCUGAGGUUUGGUGUUUACACUAGACUGAUGAGUUGCGAACGGGUGAGUAACGCGUAGGUAACCUGCCUCAUAGCGGGGGAUAACUAUUGGAAACGAUAGCUAAUACCGCAUAAGAGUAAUUAACACAUGUUAGUUAUUUAAAAGGAGCAAUUGCUUCACUGUGAGAUGGACCUGCGUUGUAUUAGCUAGUUGGUGAGGUAAAGGCUCACCAAGGCGACGAUACAUAGC